This is a long non-coding RNA of Oncorhynchus keta (chum salmon), 1099 nucleotides long. RefSeq lists it as uncharacterized. Lineage: Eukaryota; Metazoa; Chordata; Actinopteri; Salmoniformes; Salmonidae. The transcript has 3 exons. The record is from RefSeq and is a predicted model, not a curated record.
UCUGGCAGGUCUGACUCCCACAUCACUGUGAAGGUUAUACUGAUCAGAGUCUGGCAGGUCUGACUCCCACAUCACUGUGAAGGUUAUACUGAUCAGAGUCUGGCAGGUCUGACUCCCACAUCACUGUGAAGGAUAUACUGAUCAGAGUCUGGCAGGUCUGACUCCCACAUCACUGUGAAGGUUAUACUGAUCAGAGUCUGGCAGGUCUGACUCCCACAUCACUGUGAAGGUUAUACUGAUCAGAGUCUGGCAGGUCUGACUCCCACAUCACUGUGAAGGUUAUACUGAUCAGAGUCUGGCAGGUCUGACUCCCACAUCACUGUGAAGGAUAUACUGAUCAGAGUCUGGCAGGUCUGACUCCCACAUCACUGUGAAGGUUAUACUGAUCAGAGUCUGGCAGGUCUGACUCCCACAUCACUGUGAAGGUUAUACUGAUCAGAGUCUGGCAGGUCUGAUUCCCACAUCACUGUGAAGGUUAUGGACAUCACUGAUCAGAGUCUGGCAGGUCUGACUCCCACAUCACUGUGAAGGUUAUACUGAUCAGAGUCUGGCAGGUCUGACUCCCACAUCACUGUGAAGGUUAUACUGAUCAGAGUCUGGCAGGUCUGACUCCCACAUCUCUGUGAAGGUUAUACUGAUCAGAGUCUGGCAGGUCUGACUCCCACAUCACUGUGAAUGUUAUACUGAUCAGAGUCUGGCAGGUCUGACUCCCACAUCACUGUGAAUGAUAUACUGAUCAGAGUCUGGCAGGUCUGACUCCCACAUCACUGUGAAGGUUAUACUGAUCAGAGUCUGGCAGGUCUGACUCCCACAUCACUGUGAAGGUUAUGGACAUUACUGAUAUACUGGUGAUCACCAUUAUGUUAUUGGCCAUCCAUAGUCACAUUUCUACUGGAAAAAUGUAUCUGAUGACAUUCAGUCAUUUUCUGUCACUUAUUUAUCCGUUUGCACAAUUACUUUAGAAAAUAUAUAUAUUUGUAGGGAUAUUGAAAAGUGGUAAAGAUUGUGAUUUCUGGUUUUAUCCGUGUGUGUCCCCGCUACACCUGUCCCCGCUACACCUGUCCUCUCUACACCUGUCCUCUCUACACCUGUCCUCUCU